This is a long non-coding RNA of Chelonia mydas (Green sea turtle), 637 nucleotides long. RefSeq lists it as uncharacterized. Lineage: Eukaryota; Metazoa; Chordata; Testudines; Cheloniidae. The record is from RefSeq and is a predicted model, not a curated record. The transcript is spliced from 2 exons.
GCAAAACUGAAAUUGUGUGCAACGCUUUCUACUUUCUGAUUGUUACAAAAAUUCUUCAAUUUGUAAUACUUGGGUUUUAGGUUGUCUUCCUCUGUGCUGAAGAGGGGAAUUUUACAUUUGCCUUGAUUUAUUCUGCAAUUUCUCUAGCAAUUGUAAUACUCUUAAGGGUGAGCCUCUCAAAAUGGCCAAAAUUACUAAAUUAAGGUCUAAUUUAUAUGUUGGUUCAGUUCAUAGUAAUGGAUUAAAUAUAAUAUAGACUCUUAGAUCCUGAAACUUCAGCUGGAUCGGUGUGCGCAGCCCCUUGUUCUGGUAGGUACAAGAGCCCACCUCUGUGGAUCUAAUUGUAGGAGUAAAGUCUUCUUUUACCAAAUUAAUUAAAAAAACCAAAACUGUUUGGCAUAAGGUGUGUAAUUGGUUCUGUUAUCUGAUGCUGAGGUGAUUUUUGAAACAGUAAAUGUUUUCCAAUUUUGAUUUGUUCCCUGCCUGCUUCUGAACACUAUAGAAACUGCAGUAUUGAUGUAUCACAUUCUAUAUGAUGCUUGUUUCAGCAGUGUAACAUUAAUGCUGCAACAGCAAAUUAAAAAUAUUUAUUUUAUUAAAAGCUAAUGUAAUGCUAAUAAAAAGUGUUAUAUUGACA